Molecule: ribosomal RNA, 497 nt
Filed under: uncultured bacterium
Lineage: Bacteria
Description: partial 16S ribosomal RNA
Rfam family: Bacterial small subunit ribosomal RNA
Source: RNAcentral
GAUGAACGCUGGCGGUGUGCCUAAUACAUGCAAGUCGAGCGAACAGACGAGGAGCUUACUCCUCUGACGUUAGCGGCGGACGGGUGAGUAACACGUGGAUAACCUACCUAUAAGACUGGGAUAACUUCGGGAAACCGGAGCUAAUACCGGAUAACAUGUUGAACCGCAUGGUUCAACAGUGAAAGACGGUCUUGCUGUCACUUAUAGAUGGAUCCGCGUCGCAUUAGCUAGUUGGUAAGGUAACGGCUUACCAAGGCAACGAUGCGUAGCCGACCUGAGAGGGUGAUCGGCCACACUGGGACUGAGACACGGUCCAGACUCCUACGGGAGGCAGCAGUAGGGAAUCUUCCGCAAUGGGCGAAAGCCUGACGGAGCAACGCCGCGUGAGUGAAGAAGGUCUUCGGAUCGUAAAACUCUGUUAUUAGGGAAGAACAAAUGUGUAAGUAACUAUGCACGUCUUGACGGUACCUAAUCAGAAAGCCACGGCUAACUACGUG